GCACCUAUACAUCAUUGGUGUAUGCGGAAUUUCUCGCGAACUUGAAGGCGAAAGGCGUUUUGGACGGGGGUUCGAUUCCCCCCACCUCCACCAAAUGGGGGAAAGGCAAGCGAUCACCUUUUCCCCAUCUGAUGGGGGUGACCUGGUUUCGACAAGGCGGCAAGUAACCGGAGACACACCACGUCAGGCGACCGACGUAAAUAGCGCAAAACCAUAAUUGCAAACGAUUCGCAAUUUCUUGCUUACGGCACCUAAAAGCCGCUAAGCCGAGUAACCGGCUCCUUCGCAAGAAGGCUUGGGAACAGAAAAGCCGGACGAACUCUGUCGUUA
This 330-nucleotide transfer-messenger RNA is filed under the name Herbaspirillum sp. LeCh32-8. It matches the Rfam family "Betaproteobacteria transfer-messenger RNA". Rfam says of the family: Bacterial tmRNA, also known as 10Sa RNA or SsrA, is named for its dual tRNA and mRNA-like properties. Its role is to liberate the mRNA from a stalled ribosome. The record is from RNAcentral. Lineage: Bacteria; Pseudomonadati; Pseudomonadota; Betaproteobacteria; Burkholderiales; Oxalobacteraceae.